GAUGAACGCUGGCGGCGUGCCUAAUACAUGCAAGUCGAGCGAACAGACGAGGAGCUUGCUCCUCUGACGUUAGCGGCGGACGGGUGAGUAACACGUGGAUAACCUACCUAUAAGACUGGGAUAACUUCGGGAAACCGGAGUUAAUACCGGAUAAUAUAUUGAACCGCAUGGUUCAAUAGUGAAAGACGGUUUUGCUGUCACUUAUAGAUGGAUCCGCGCCGCAUUAGCUAGUUGGUAAGGUAACGGCUUACCAAGGCGACGAUGCGUAGCCGACCUGAGAGGGUGAACGGCCACACUGGAACUUAGACACGGUCCAGACUCCUACGGGAGGCAGCAGUAGGGAAUCUUCCGCAAUGGGCGAAAGCCUGACGGAGCCACCCCGCGUGAGUGAUGAAGGUCUUCGGAUCGUAAAACUCUGUUAUUAGGGAAGAACAAAUGUGUAAGUAACUAUGCACGUCUUGACGGUACCUAAUCAGAAAGCCACGGCUAACUACGUG
RNAcentral lists this ribosomal RNA (497 nucleotides) under uncultured bacterium. RNAcentral describes it as "partial 16S ribosomal RNA". It matches the Rfam family "Bacterial small subunit ribosomal RNA", at positions 28 to 507 of the family's 1533-position model. The record is from RNAcentral.